CCUGACGCAGCGACGCCGCGUGGAGGAUGACGCAUUUCGGUGUGUAAACUCCUUUUAUCAAGGAAGAAAAUGACGGUACUUGAUGAAUAAGCACCGGCUAACUCCGUGCCAGCAGCCGCGGUAAUACGGAGGGUGCAAGCGUUAUUCGGAAUCACUGGGCGUAAAGGACGCGUAGGCGGGAUGCCAAGUCUGAUGUGAAAUCCUAUGGCUUAACCAUAGAACUGCAUUGGAAACUGGUGACCUAGAGUAUGGGAGGGGGAGAUGGAAUUAGUGGUGUAGGGGUAAAAUCCGUAGAUAUCACUAGGAAUAUCCAAAGCGAAGGCGAUCUCCUGGAACAAUACUGACGCUAAGGCGUGAAAGCGUGGGGAGCAAACGGGAUUAGAUACCCCGGUAGUCCACGCCCUAAACGAUGUUCACUAGUCGUCGGAAUGCUAGUCAUUUCGGUGAUGCACUUAACAGAUUAAGUGAACCGCCUGGGGAGUACGGUCGCAAGAUUAAAACUCAAAUGAAUUGACGG
RNAcentral lists this ribosomal RNA (517 nucleotides) under uncultured bacterium. RNAcentral describes it as "bacterial SSU rRNA". It matches the Rfam family "Bacterial small subunit ribosomal RNA", at positions 382 to 916 of the family's 1533-position model. The record is from RNAcentral.